Long non-coding RNA from Capsicum annuum, 1605 nucleotides. RefSeq lists it as uncharacterized. NCBI's taxonomy places the organism in Eukaryota, Viridiplantae, Streptophyta, Magnoliopsida, Solanales, Solanaceae. The record is from RefSeq and is a predicted model, not a curated record. The transcript has 2 exons.
UAAAUACAUAUUAAAUACUUUAUGGUUUUUUUUAGACGAUUAAAUGAAUUAAAAUAGGUGAAAAUCCCCCCAAAAGGAGAAAAAGAUAGUAAAUGUACACGGAGAUCUUGAAUUAAAAAAAAAAUUUAUGAAAAUAGAAAAUAUACACUAAAUGUAAAUCCCUCCCCUUCAUAUUUCUUGUCCACAAAGGCAAAAAGGGAUAAACAUUAGAAAGGGGCCCCACUAGGAAACUUCCAGGAAAGGGACAAAAGGACCAUUUUUCCAUUUUGGAAAAGGUCCACACACACAAUAUAUACACACUCCAUUCCUUGGAUCUGGGGGCCAUUUUUUUUGCUGAUUUUUGCUUCUUCUUCAUCAUCUUCACACACACAAUCUUCUACACGAUCAUACUCCCAAUUUCCAUUCUAGAAUACACCAUCUUCCAUGUACUUUCAAUUUCCAUGAACAGCAUGGACAGGACCUCAUAUAUAAUCCAUCAUUGAAAAAAUAUUUCUUCUCCACAUACAAAAAAAUAAAAACACGCAGACAGAGAGAGGGAGAGAGAGCGACGGAAGAGUGAGAGAGCAGCUGAACGCGCACAAGAGAGAAAAAAUAGUGAGAAUCUGAGAGAGGAGAUCGAAAAUGUGAUUUGGCCUGUGUUUUUGGCCGGAAGUAGCAUCCCCUUGCCGAAAAAACAUUGUUAUCAUCCAUUUUUGCCUUGUUUCGGUCAGCGUUGGAGCUCACCGAAGUUCCAACGGGACGAUAGCUAUGGAUUUUGACCCUAACCCGAUCCGAAUCAGUCAAUUUUGACCGGUUUUGGGUUAGAUUCCGGCGAGUUUUUGCCGGACAUCGUCACACGGGUUCUUGGUUUUCUUUUAGAAAGUUUUUGGAUUCAGGCUUCUUGUUUUUUUUGGUUCGUUUUGGAGAGAAAACAAAACGAAAGGGUGAGACUGAACUUUGGUCAUUUCAUGUUUGAGGUUUGAAUCGAUGGUUCUGAAUCCGCGAAGCUCCUCCAUUUGAUUGAAUCAAAGCGGCAUUAGGGAUGGAGCCGUCCACAGGGUCUAGAGUCUUGAUGGUUUCCAAGGUUCCCAAAAAGUUAAUCAAAUGGUGGGGUAUGCUCAACUAUUCUGAAAGGCAUGAGAUAGAAAAAUUGUUCAGCAAUCUUACAUCGCUUUUGAAUAUCACACCCUGACCAGAUCUAAUAGAGGCCGCAUCGAACUUCUGGGAUUCAGACAGCUUGGUGUUUAGGUUCGGGAGUUGUGAAAUGAUGCCUACCUUGGCAGAAAUAUCCGGUUUGUUUCAUUUGCCAUAUAUCGGUCAGAAGUUAAUCCUAGCUCGGAAUCAUUCUAGCAGGAUAUUUCUCGAACUUUGCGGUUUGAAGGCUAAUGAUCACCUAGGGUCCCUGAAACAAUCUUGGAUUUCCUUAGAUUAUUUGUUCGCUGGAUUCCGAUCUCCAGACGGUUUUGAUCACUUUUGGGAUGAAUUUUGUACUACCAAGAAGAAUUGGGAGAAACGACAUCUUGAGGUUUUCUGUUUGGCAUUGUUAGGUACUUUAGUGUUCCUGUUAGAUGAAACGCGUAUCAAAACUCAUUUACAAUCAGUAGUAAUGGCUUUGUUCAAGAAAAA